GGUAUGGAAUGUGUCCUCUCAAGGGAGCAAGUGGAUGCCCUGGGGCUGAGAGGAGUCUUCUGGUGCAGUCUUAUUUUGAAAAGGGUCUGGAUGUCGCCCAGACUGGAGUGCAGUAGCAUGAUCAUGGCCCACUGCAGCCUUGACCCCCCAGGCUCAAGUGAUCCUCCCACCUCAGCCUCCAGAGUAGCUGGGACUACAGACAUAUGCCACCAUAUCCAGCUAAUUAUUUUUAUUUAUUAUUAUUUUUUACAGACAGGGGCUCACUGUGUUGACUAGACUGGUCUUGAACUGCUGCGCUCAAGUAAUCCUCCCACCUCAGCCUCCCAAAGUACUGAGAUUAUAGGCAUGAAUCACUAUGCCCGGUGCAUUUCUUUUGCAUUUAAUUUUGCAUUUUUCUAAGAGAUGGGGUCCCGAUAUGUUGUCCAGGUUGAAGUGCAGUAGCUGUUUCUAUAGGCACCAUCACG
Molecule: small RNA, 464 nt
Filed under: Pan troglodytes (chimpanzee)
Lineage: Eukaryota; Metazoa; Chordata; Mammalia; Primates; Hominidae
Description: processed transcript
Source: RNAcentral